This 421-nucleotide ribosomal RNA is filed under the name uncultured bacterium. RNAcentral's name for it is "bacterial SSU rRNA". It matches the Rfam family "Bacterial small subunit ribosomal RNA", at positions 356 to 774 of the family's 1533-position model. The record is from RNAcentral.
GGGGAAUAUUGGUCAAUGGGCGCAAGCCUGAACCAGCCAUGCCGCGUGCAGGAAGACGGUCCUAUGGAUUGUAAACUGCUUUUAUUUGGGAAUAAACCUCUUUACGUGUAGAGAGCUGAAGUUACCAAAUGAAUAAGCACCGGCCAACUCCGUGCCAGCAGCCGCCGUAAUACGGAGGGUGCAAGCGUUAUCCGGAAUCAUUGGGUUUAAAGGGUCCGAAGGCGGUCUUAUAAGUCAGUGGUGAAAGACGACAGCUCAACUGUAGAACUGCAGUUGAUACUGUAAGACUUGAGUUCGAACGGAGAGGGCGGAAUAUGACAUGUAGCGGUGAAAUGCUUAGAUAUGUCAAAGAACACCGAUAGCGAAGGCAGCUCACUAGGGCUGGAUUGACGCUGAGGGACGAAAGCGUGGGGAGCAAACA